CCAAGGAGUCUAACAUGUGCGCGAGUCAUUGGGUCUUGUUCAGGCCCAGAGGCGCAAUGAAAGUGAAGGACGCCCCAGUCGGUGUCUGCGUUGGGAUCCCGGGGCCUCGGUCCCGGGCGCACCAACGGCCCGUCCCGUCCGCCACGUCGGUGGGACGGAGCGAGAGCGUACACGUUGGGACCCGAAAGAUGGUGAACUAUGCCUGGGCAGGACGAGGCCAGAGGAAACUCUGGUGGAGGUCCGCAGCGAUUCUGACGUGCAAAUCGAUCGUCAGACCUUGGUAUAGGGGCGAAAGACUAAUCGAACCGUCUAGUAGCUGGUUCCCUCCGAAGUUUCCCUCAGGAUAGCUGGUGCUCGAUCGGAAUCAGUCUCAUCCGGUAAAGCGAAUGAUUAGAGGCCUUGGGGCCGAAACGACCUCAACCUAUUCUCAAACUUUCAAUGGGUGAGAAGUCCGGUUUACCCGACUGAAGCCCGGACGAUUCUCAGGAUGUGAGUGCCCAGUGGGCCACUUUU
This 513-nucleotide ribosomal RNA is filed under the name Centruroides limbatus. RNAcentral's name for it is "partial large subunit ribosomal RNA". It matches the Rfam family "Eukaryotic large subunit ribosomal RNA", at positions 666 to 1138 of the family's 3401-position model. The record is from RNAcentral. Lineage: Eukaryota; Metazoa; Arthropoda; Arachnida; Scorpiones; Buthidae.